GUGGGGAAUAUUGCACAAUGGGCGAAAGCCUGAUGCAGCAACGCCGCGUGAGGGACGACGGCCUUCGGGUUGUAAACCUCUUUUAGUAGGGAAGAAGCGAAAGUGACGGUACCUGCAGAAAAAGCACCGGCUAACUACGUGCCAGCAGCCGCGGUAAUACGUAGGGUGCAAGCGUUAUCCGGAAUUAUUGGGCGUAAAGAGCUCGUAGGCGGUCUGUCGCGUCUGCUGUGAAAACUGGAGGCUCAACCUCCAGCCUGCAGUGGGUACGGGCAGACUAGAGUGCUGUAGGGGAGAUUGGAAUUCCUGGUGUAGCGGUGGAAUGCGCAGAUAUCAGGAGGAACACCGAUGGCGAAGGCAGAUCUCUGGGCCGUAACUGACGCUGAGGAGCGAAAGCGUGGGGAGCGAACAGGAUUAGAAACCCGAGUAGUCC
This 430-nucleotide ribosomal RNA is filed under the name uncultured bacterium. RNAcentral describes it as "partial 16S ribosomal RNA". It matches the Rfam family "Bacterial small subunit ribosomal RNA", at positions 354 to 796 of the family's 1533-position model. The record is from RNAcentral.